UACGAAGGGUGCAAGCGUUACUCGGAAUUACUGGGCGUAAAGCGUGCGUAGGUGGUGAGUUAAGUCUGUCGUGAAAGCCCCGGGCUCAACCUGGGAAUGGCGAUGGAUACUGGCUCGCUAGAGUGCGGUAGAGGAGAGUGGAAUUCCCGGUGUAGCAGUGAAAUGCGCAGAUAUCAGGAGGAACACCUACGGCGAAGGCAGCUCGCUGGGACGGUACUGACGCUGAGACGCGAAAGCGUGGGGAGCAAACAGG
RNAcentral lists this ribosomal RNA (253 nucleotides) under uncultured bacterium. RNAcentral's name for it is "partial 16S ribosomal RNA". It matches the Rfam family "Bacterial small subunit ribosomal RNA", at positions 524 to 776 of the family's 1533-position model. The record is from RNAcentral.